Molecule: long non-coding RNA, 409 nt
Organism: Mesocricetus auratus (golden hamster)
Lineage: Eukaryota; Metazoa; Chordata; Mammalia; Rodentia; Cricetidae
Exons: 3
Source: RefSeq, a predicted model, not a curated record
AGAGUCUGGAUGCUUAGGAAACUGUUGAGGACAAAAACAAACCCUGGCUUCCUGAUCCUCUCACAAAACUAUUUCCAUCCAGGGCUGAGGAGAAAUAAGAGCUUGAAAAGCCUUGGCACAAAUCCCGAACAGCUUUCUGCAGCAUAGGAAGGCCAUACCUGUAGUGAGUUCUACAAUUCAUCAUGCUGCAAAGUUUCCCCAAACCUUCUGAAGCUAACUCAACUCCAGGUUUCCCUCUGCAGGUAAGGCAGACUCAAGUUCCUGCCAGCCUAGCUGCUCUGUCAGACCACAGUGGGCCCUGUUUCUCCUGAACCUGGAGUAGAAACCCCUGCACUCUCAACGUCCCCUGAGAACACAGACUGGAGGAGGGUCCGCUUCUGUCCAACGGAGUGUCCCACUUACCUCUCAG